UACGGAUACGUCUGGUUUAGAUGC
Molecule: non-coding RNA, 24 nt
Filed under: Arabidopsis thaliana (thale cress)
Lineage: Eukaryota; Viridiplantae; Streptophyta; Magnoliopsida; Brassicales; Brassicaceae
Source: RNAcentral